RNAcentral lists this ribosomal RNA (491 nucleotides) under uncultured bacterium. Its description in RNAcentral is "partial 16S ribosomal RNA". It matches the Rfam family "Bacterial small subunit ribosomal RNA", at positions 28 to 507 of the family's 1533-position model. The record is from RNAcentral.
GAUGAACGCUAGCUACAGGCUUAACACAUGCAAGUCGAGGGGAAACGAUGAGAGAGCUUGCUCUCUUAGUCGUCGACCGGCGCACGGGUGAGUAACGCGUAUCCAACCUGCCUCUGACCAAGGGAUAACCCGUCGAAAGUCGGACUAAUACCUUAUGCAGUCGUCGGAAGUCAUCUGAUGACGACGAAAGAUUUCAUCGGUGAGAGAUGGGGAUGCGUCUGAUUAGCUUGUUGGCGGGGUAACGGCCCACCAAGGCGACGAUCAGUAGGGGUUCUGAGAGGAAGGUCCCCCACAUUGGAACUGAGACACGGUCCAAACUCCUACGGGCGGCAGCAGUGAGGAAUAUUGGUCAAUGGGCGUAAGCCUGAACCAGCCAAGUAGCGUGCAGGAUGACGGCCCUAUGGGUUGUAAACUGCUUUUAUGCGGGGAUAAAGUGAGGGACGUGUCCUUCAUUGCAGGUACCGCAUGAAUAAGGACCGGCUAAUUCCGUG